UACAGGGGGUGCAAACGUUGCUCGGAAUCAUUGGGCGUAAAGCGCACGUAGGCGGUCUGUUAUGUCGGAUGUGAAAGCCCUUGGCUUAACUGAGGAAGUGCAUCCGAAACUGGCAGGCUAGAGUACUAAAGAGGGUCGCGGAAUUCCCGGUGUAGAGGUGAAAUUCGUAGAUAUCGGGAGGAACACCAGUGGCGAAGGCGGUUGCCUGGAGCUUUGCUGACGCUGAGGCGCGAAAGCGUGGGGAGCGAACAGG
This 253-nucleotide ribosomal RNA is filed under the name uncultured bacterium. RNAcentral describes it as "partial 16S ribosomal RNA". It matches the Rfam family "Bacterial small subunit ribosomal RNA", at positions 524 to 776 of the family's 1533-position model. The record is from RNAcentral.